Molecule: non-coding RNA, 36 nt
Filed under: Geotalea daltonii FRC-32
Lineage: Bacteria; Pseudomonadati; Thermodesulfobacteriota; Desulfuromonadia; Geobacterales; Geobacteraceae
Source: RNAcentral
UGUAAGGAAGGCGGCCAGCGCGCAGACCUCCAGCGC